Molecule: long non-coding RNA, 3530 nt
Organism: Ornithodoros turicata
Lineage: Eukaryota; Metazoa; Arthropoda; Arachnida; Ixodida; Argasidae
Exons: 2
Source: RefSeq, a predicted model, not a curated record
UAGCAGAAUAGGAGUCAAUCCUCGUUCAAAGCCAUUCUAUCUUUUAAAAAUCCAGAAAAGAGCGCGUGACGUGAAAUAUUCAUCGCUGGAUUUUGGUAUGCAAAUGAGUAAAAACGAAGAACCGCGCCUCAGAGCGCAUCAUCUAUGCCGACGAAGGCUUCUCAGGGCCGGAAAGCGGUUUAUCUAGUCAGCAUAUCGGCCAACUCCAAUCAUCUCCGUUGCUCCAAAUCACGUGGCCUCUGACAUGAAAUGAGCGCUGUGCUCUCUGCGGUCCCAGUCACUGCGGUUUCGUGUCAAACUUCAGGGAUGGAUAUUUUAACGCACGUGCGUGUUUCAGGAAUUGCUAGACGCGGAAUGGCUUUUAACAAGCAUAGUCUCUCAUUCUGCUAUCGCGCUUUUGCACAGAAUCCCCUAAUUGCAGAGUUAAUUAAUGAAUUUUAUGUAAUUAGUCAACUUGUAGUUUUAUACAUUCUUCGAGAGGAUGUCCGCCUGGUCCUAUAAUUUGACUGCAAAAAUGACAUCUGUGCUGUCCUCAUAGCGUUUUUUUUUAUAAAAAUUCUGCAAAGCAUCAAAAUAAGCACCCUGUAUAGUACUUGGGCUUGUUGAAAAUGGAAUCACGCUAAAACUUUGGCAAUCAAUCUCACGAAGCUUGUGUUCCUCCAGCUCGGGCGUGAUUACUUAGUAUACGGGCUGUAGUUCCACAAUCCGUGAAAUCAAUUAAUAAUGAGAGGAUAGAGAGGUAGCAAGCGAGCUGGUGGUAUAGAUCCAUAACUUAAACCCCCGAGACUAGGGGACAAAAUUGAGACCUUGUCUGUGUUUGUCGUUUUUUUGUCCCCUAGUCUAGGGUUUUUAAGUUAUGGAUCAAUUAAUAAUGUUGAAAUGCCUUGCGCUGAGUUGAGGGAAGUAUUUUGACUGUGAAACUACCCGCCUGCCAACUGCUGCGAAGAUAGUGCAAGCAUGAAACGGUGGGCCAGCACAAACCCUGCUUACUAAAAUCAGUGCUUACUACUACUGCUUUGAAUUCAGAGAGUUCUGGUGACGCCACAUAUAUGUGUUCGAUGUUGUACAUGGCGCUACAGCCCUGUCAGGUCGCAAAAAGACGGUGAAAACGUAUUGAAAGACGCACAGUAAAAUUAUAUGAAACAACCUUAACGAUCACAAUGGUGGUUACGGUGGGUGAUAUCGCCCAGGUGAAAAUCUGAACUGGAUUCCGAAGUGGUUCCAUUUGUAUGCCAAAGUGGUUUGAAGUGGAGUAAACCGUCUCUGGUUCAGAGUAAAGUGCUUCCACUUGAUUGCCAAGUGGUUUCCAACUGUUUGUUGGGUCCAUAUACCAGAAACAUUCGCGCAGAGUACCGGAAUCGAACUUUGCACAAUUUUCACUUGAGUUUGAAACCGAAACUUUAAUGGCCUCGUCGUCGACACGAGGAGCAAGACCGAGCGCCAUCUGCAUCAGUACGUGUUUUGAAAUGUCGUUGCUGUUGGUCGUCGAGCUCGUCGGUUCGCAGUUUUCGUCUUUCAACUCUUCAAAACGGGCAAAAACGUGAAUAUUUAGAAUCUCAGUCGUCAGGCACUGCAUUAUGUACAACUGCUUGUGUUACAACUUAUGCACCAGCUCAGUCGGAAGAAACUACAAGCGAUGCGCAGGACUGCAAUUACGCUGGUAAGUAGUAGUGAUUCGAUAUUUAUGUACAUAUUUAUCUCGGUUCUACUCCCCGUUAUUACUGUUGUCUAAAAUAUCGUAAGUGCAGGCUACCUGUUGGGUAAUCUCCACGCCUUCCUGCUCAGGCUUCUCUCCCAUGGGGUUACUAUUAUUUAUCUGAACUUUGUGUAGCCUGCUAGUGCUUGAAUUGGCUUUGUUAUGAAUUGUCUUGUAGCUUGCAGUUUGUCAUACAAAUGGAGGAGACUUGCAGGAUGCUUACGAAUCAUACAGAACAAGGGCCAGCUACUGAAAAGAGGUAUGUGGCAUAUGAUUGUUGCAGGAAAACAUUUACGUGUACUUUUGCGAAAAGUUUUUCUACAGGUUUUCUCACUGAAACUGAAUUCCCAGUUUAUCGCUUCAAUAUGCACUACGUUUAUGUAAUUUUGUCCUCGGAUGAGGAAAGAAUGGAUCCAGUCUCAUCUGCCACGAGGUGUCCUUCAGAAUGACGUAGGAGCAGCAACACUUCUUACUGGCUAUCAUGCUGAUAUAAAUAUAAACUGUACUUUUUGCACGAAACAGGAUUGCAGAUACUAAAGUAGCAAUGUGGGUAGUUGGUGCUGACGGCUCAUCUCAAAGCAGCAACACAAGACAAGGACGACGAGUGAAAAAGCAGUAAGUUCUUAUCACUCGUCGUUUCUGUCCUGUGUUACAGCUUCGAGAUGAACUGGGCUGCCGACUGUUGGUAAGACCAAAUUAUCUUCACGUAAAGCAGCAUUGCCACUGGUGUGAAUUUCUUCUUUUCGGUGAUAACAAUACAUUCGGGUACAGGUGUCGUAGUACAGUCGGCUUGCACUUUUUCUAUCAUUGACUCCAGACAUCAUUUAUGUCCGAUUAACUAGCAUAUACACAGGAGUGUUAUGAGAAAUGAUCUGAAAGUUGCCAUGUUUUACAGAUGCGGAGAAAGGUCACUUGCGCCACUCUCACUGCACCGCCGAAUUUUAUGGCAAGUCGAGUCCUUUCCUUCCAGUUAUGCUACUGUCAUAAUGAACGCCACUUUGCCAGUGCUUAAGUUUUUUCAGUAAGCAAAGUUGCAAAGCAAAGUUCAGUAAAGUCAGUUGUGACUUGGAUAGGUGAGCAUGCGGAUCUGGCUAGUUCUAGACGAGGGUAUUAUAGCUGUUGGCAUUUCAGUAUGAAGAACCCCUUGGCUCGGCCUCACAUAUGCAGUGCUGUUCCGUGAAACGUAGCCAGUACUCAACGUGUUCUUUGUGUGGAUUAUGGCCGUCGCACAAGAGGAAGAUUUUGAUGUAGCCGGGCGCUGAGGAGCGUGACGUUGCGGGCAACGAGCACGAGCUGUGCAAUGACUGCGACGACCUUUAUGUGUGGUCUCAUCUUGCAUCUGACCCAAUAUGCCAUUAAGCGAAACAGAAAACUUCGUGCCACUAUUAUGUUUGAAGUGGACACUGCGACAAAAAGGCGGCUACGCCACGGCAAAGAACUUGCAUCAAAGGAAUCAAGAACCGAAGAUGCAUCUCGCCAUUAAAUCGAGAACUAUAGGGUACUGUGUGCGACUAAGUUAAGAGAUAAACAUUUUUAAGUGCAAUAUCAAGAGGUGCCGAAGAUGUGUUCCAAUAUCAUCCAGAUAAACGUGUGUGACAGUGCGACUAAGUCAAGCCAAGACUGAAACAUUUUUAAGUGCAGUAUCAGGAGACGUCAAAUAAUCUGCAUCAAAACAAUCGGCAGCUGAAGAUGUGUCUCAACAUUAAAUCAAGAGAACCAGGCAACGGUGUGUGACUAAGUCAAGUCAAAGUGAAACAUUUUUAAGUACAAUAUAAAGAGUGAAAGUGUUUUCGUAUUGUGUAGCAUAAAAUAAAGAACUUUUGGAGUCUUGUUA